UAACUGCUAAUUAAUGUGUUUUACUUACAGUGUUUGUCAGCAAUAAGCACUUUCAUUUACAAGACAGGCCUAGAAUAGACAAUGACAUACCAUAUUUUCCGGACUAUAAGCCACUGAGCUGCCACAUUUUACACAGGCUUUGAACCCUGCAGCUUGUAGUCCGGUGCGGCCUAUCUAUGGAUUUUUCGUGAUUUUUGUGAUGUCUAAUACACUUACUAUACACUCGUUGGUGAAAAGGUUGUAGACCGCUGUUGUGUGGCACCACUUUGCUGGGCGGAGGGAUAUGUGAACAGACAUACGGUCACUGGGUAGAAAAGUGGUGUGUUUAUCGCAUGUCCGUCCGCCAGGCAAAUAGUGCCGCAUAACUGAGACAAACAAGAGACAGAGCAAUAGAACAUGACUGGAGAAAGGAAGCUUUUAUACGCAAACCCUCAUUAUAGGGGACAAAAGAAAUACAUGUGAUGCCGCUUUUAAGUUAAAGGCAGUCAAUAUAGCUCUUAACCAAAGAAAUAGAGCUGCUGCAUCUACUGUAGAGGUUUCCUCAGGCCACUAGGGUGGAGUGGGCUAUUGUUGAUGACAUCUUGUUGUGUCACCAUUUUCAGUAUUUUUUUCCCGGGUCAUGUCUUCUCCCAACCUUUACGUGUCGCUUGUAUCGCAUUGCCAACUUUACACCUGUAAGUGGUCACAUUUUAGUUAUUAUUAGUUUUCACAUUAAGUUUAUUAUUGUCAUCGCUGAGAUUUAUGCAUGUUUGUAUGUUUCAGAGCUCCUUCAUCUCUGUCAAUAAACGUUAUGUUAAUAAAAGGUCUGCGUCCC
This is a long non-coding RNA of Syngnathus acus (greater pipefish), 814 nucleotides long. RefSeq lists it as uncharacterized. Lineage: Eukaryota; Metazoa; Chordata; Actinopteri; Syngnathiformes; Syngnathidae. The transcript has 2 exons. The record is from RefSeq and is a predicted model, not a curated record.